ACUCAAAGGAAUAGACGGGGGCCCGCACAAGCGGUGGAGCAUGUGGUUUAAUUCGACGCAACGCGAAGAACCUUACCAGCUUUUGACAUGGACAUUGGGGAGGUCAGAGAUGAUUUCUUUCAUUUAGUUGGGUGUCACACAGGUGCUGCAUGGCUGUCGUCAGCUCGUGUCGUGAGAUGUUGGGUUAAGUCCCGCAACGAGCGCAACCCUCGCCUUUAGUUGCUACCAUUUAGUUGAGCACUCUAAAGGAACUGCCCGUGAUAAGCGGGAGGAAGGUGGGGAUGACGUCAAGUCCUCAUGGCCCUUACGGGCUGGGCUACACACGUGCUACAAUGGUUGCUACAAUGGGAAGCUAUCCUGAGAGGGUGAGCGAAUCCUUUAAAAGCAAUCUCAGUUCGGAUUGAGCUCUGCAACUCGAGCUCAUGAAGUUGGAAUCGCUAGUAAUCGUGGAUCAGCAUGCCACGGUGAAUACGUUCCCGGGCCUUGUACACACCGCCCGU
RNAcentral lists this ribosomal RNA (500 nucleotides) under uncultured bacterium. RNAcentral describes it as "bacterial SSU rRNA". It matches the Rfam family "Bacterial small subunit ribosomal RNA", at positions 899 to 1397 of the family's 1533-position model. The record is from RNAcentral.